CUAAAGAGGAUGCAGGUUUUCCCGUUGUGCACGACGCUCAGAGGAGAAUAAAGCAGCGCUCCUGGAGUCUGCAGUAACUUACGGUGUGACGGAGCGUGCAGGUGCCAUCCGUACGGCUAAACACAAACAUAUUAACCUGUCACAGUUUCCCAUUCAGAACGUGAAUAAGGUAAAUCUGCACAGCACAAGGUGACAUUGACUCUUGUGUCUCAUCUCACCUGCAGAGAUCGUCUGAGAUCAACUUUAAAUGCUGAACCUUCAUCACCGACACCAUCUGUACAAGAACACAACCAAUGAGAGAAUCUGUCCAAAUCAUCAGACAAUUCAAUUAAAUAUGCAAUUU
Non-coding RNA from Misgurnus anguillicaudatus (oriental weatherfish), 343 nucleotides. The record is from RefSeq and is a predicted model, not a curated record. NCBI's taxonomy places the organism in Eukaryota, Metazoa, Chordata, Actinopteri, Cypriniformes, Cobitidae.